RNAcentral lists this microRNA (22 nucleotides) under Gallus gallus (chicken). Its description in RNAcentral is "gga-miR-7441-5p". The record is from miRBase by way of RNAcentral. Lineage: Eukaryota; Metazoa; Chordata; Aves; Galliformes; Phasianidae.
CUGAGGAGGGUUUGUAACAUGG